RNAcentral lists this long non-coding RNA (200 nucleotides) under Elaeis guineensis (African oil palm). RNAcentral's name for it is "long non-coding RNA (EGUI_LNC049787)". The record is from RNAcentral. Lineage: Eukaryota; Viridiplantae; Streptophyta; Magnoliopsida; Arecales; Arecaceae.
GGGUCAAGAAUAUCCAGAACAUCAAAAUUCUUCUUCGGUACGAACCUAAUUUGCAAGUUUCUCAACCAAUCCAUAUAGUUUAGAUCGAUCAACAUAUUUUUAUCUUUGAUUUUAUGCGGUGAAAAUAAAGAACCUAUAAUACAAAUUUAAAUCUACAUAAAUAAAGAACAAUAGUAUAAGCAGACCACUCAUGUUUGAUA